GAUGAACGCUGGCGGCGUGCUUAACACAUGCAAGUCGAACGGAAAGGCUCCUGCUUGCAGGGGUACUCGAGUGGCGAACGGGUGAGUAACACGUGGGUGAUCUGCCCUGCACUUCGGGAUAAGCCUGGGAAACUGGGUCUAAUACCGGAUAGGACCACAUUUUGGAUGGUGUGGUGGAAAGUUUUUCGGUGUGGGAUGAGCUCGCGGCCUAUCAGCUUGUUGGUGGGGUAAUGGCCUACCAAGGCGUCGACGGGUAGCCGGCCUGAGAGGGUGUACGGCCACAUUGGGACUGAGAUACGGCCCAGACUCCUACGGGAGGCAGCAGUGGGGAAUAUUGCACAAUGGGCGCAAGCCUGAUGCAGCGACGCCGCGUGGGGGAUGACGGCCUUCGGGCUGUAAACUCCUUUCGCUAGGGACGAAGCGCAAGUGACGGUACCUGGAGAAGAAGCACCGGCUAACUACGUG
This 465-nucleotide ribosomal RNA is filed under the name uncultured bacterium. RNAcentral's name for it is "partial 16S ribosomal RNA". It matches the Rfam family "Bacterial small subunit ribosomal RNA", at positions 28 to 507 of the family's 1533-position model. The record is from RNAcentral.